Molecule: non-coding RNA, 30 nt
Filed under: Rattus norvegicus (Norway rat)
Lineage: Eukaryota; Metazoa; Chordata; Mammalia; Rodentia; Muridae
Source: RNAcentral
UAAGGAAACAGAAGUGACAGGCUUAGGUGU